RNAcentral lists this ribosomal RNA (709 nucleotides) under uncultured bacterium. RNAcentral describes it as "bacterial SSU rRNA". It matches the Rfam family "Bacterial small subunit ribosomal RNA", at positions 94 to 823 of the family's 1533-position model. The record is from RNAcentral.
AGCGGCGGACGGGUGAGUAACGCGUGGGUAACCUGCCUCAUACACAUGGAUAACAUACCGAAAGGUAUGCUAAUACAAGAUGAUAUAAGAGAUUCGCAUGGAUUUCUUAUCAAAGCUCCGGCGGUAUGAGAUGGACCCGCGUCUGAUUAGCUAGUUGGUAAGGUAACGGCUUACCAAGGCGACGAUCAGUAGCCGACCUGAGAGGGUGAUCGGCCACAUUGGAACUGAGACACGGUCCAAACUCCUACGGGAGGCAGCAGUGGGGAAUAUUGCACAAUGGGCGAAAGCCUGAUGCAGCAACGCCGCGUGAGCGAUGAGGCCUUCGGGUCGUAAAGCUCUGUCCUCAAGGAAGAUAAUGGCGGUACUUGAGGAGGAAGCCCCGGCUAACUACGUGCCAGCAGCCGCGGUAAUACGUAGGGGGCUAGCGUUAUCCGGAUUUACUGGGCGUAAAGGGUGCGUAGGUGGUUUCUUAAGUCAGGAGUGAAAGGCUACGGCUCAACCGUAGUAAGCUCUUGAAACUGGGAAACUUGAGUGCAGGAGAGGAAAGUGGAAUUCCUAGUGUAGCGGUGAAAUGCGUAGAUAUUAGGAGGAACACCAGUAGCGAAGGCGGCUUUCUGGACUGUAACUGACACUGAGGCACGAAAGCGUGGGGAGCAAACAGGAUUAGAUACCCUGGUAGUCCACGCCGUAAACGAUGAGUACUAGGUGU